UACGAAGGGGGCUAGCGUUGCUCGGAAUUACUGGGCGUAAAGGGCGCGUAGGCGGAUAGUUUAGUCAGAGGUAAAAGCCCAGGGCUCAACCUUGGAACUGCCUUUGAUACUGGCUAUCUUGAGUUCGGGAGAGGUGAGUGGAAUGCCGAGUGUAGAGGUGAAAUUCGUAGAUAUUCGGCGGAACACCAGUGGCGAAGGCGACUCACUGGCCCGAUACUGACGAUCAGGUGCGAAAGCGUGGGGAGCAAACAGG
RNAcentral lists this ribosomal RNA (253 nucleotides) under uncultured bacterium. RNAcentral describes it as "partial 16S ribosomal RNA". It matches the Rfam family "Bacterial small subunit ribosomal RNA", at positions 524 to 776 of the family's 1533-position model. The record is from RNAcentral.